Limulus polyphemus (Atlantic horseshoe crab) is the source of this 514-nucleotide long non-coding RNA. RefSeq lists it as uncharacterized. NCBI's taxonomy places the organism in Eukaryota, Metazoa, Arthropoda, Merostomata, Xiphosura, Limulidae. The transcript is spliced from 2 exons. The record is from RefSeq and is a predicted model, not a curated record.
UGAACUAUUGACGGGGUGGGUACUGUUUGAUCCACAAAUCUACUGAAAACUUUAGUAACAGUAAGGUAGACUGUGGUAUACAUUAAUAUUAUGUUUCAAAGUUGAUUUGAUAGUUAUAUUCCUGGUUUUUACCUUCCAUUUUUCAUGUUUUAUCUAGGAGUUCACCACUAUCCGCAUUGGCGUUACUAUGCAGUUGAUACUUGACAGGAAUUUUUCUUCAUGUUGAAUUCCAUAAAUUUCAACUUUCAAGACUAGCUUCCAACGCCUUAAGGCUUAACUUAAGUGUUACUUACAAUAUACUAUAUAGAGCAAAUCUCGUCAACCACUUUCCUCAUCGCUACAUCAGAUUAAUACUAAUAGAGACAGAAAAAGUUGGAAAAUGACUGAGAAUCCAGCUGAAUGCAGUAUCAAAGUGGUGUGUCGAAUUCGGCCUCUUAACAGUUCAGAAGAGAAAUCGGGAAGCAAAUUCAUUGUGAAAUUUCCACCAAAUACAGAAGAAUGUGUUUCCAUUAAG